This 491-nucleotide ribosomal RNA is filed under the name uncultured bacterium. Its description in RNAcentral is "partial 16S ribosomal RNA". It matches the Rfam family "Bacterial small subunit ribosomal RNA", at positions 28 to 507 of the family's 1533-position model. The record is from RNAcentral.
GAUGAACGCUAGCUACAGGCUUAACACAUGCAAGUCGAGGGGAAACGACAUCGAAAGCUUGCUUUUGAUGGGCGUCGACCGGCGCACGGGUGAGUAACGCGUAUCCAACCUGCCCAUCACUUGGGAAUAACCUUGCGAAAGUAAGACUAAUACCCAAUGACAUCCCACGAAGACAUCUGAAUGGGAUUAAAGAUUUAUCGGUGAUGGAUGGGGAUGCGUCUGAUUAGCUUGUUGGCGGGGAACGGCCCACCAAGGCAACGAUCAGUAGGGGUUCUGAGAGGAAGGUCCCCCACAUUGGAACUGAGACACGGUCCAAACUCCUACGGGAGGCAGCAGUGAGGAAUAUUGGUCAAUGGGCGAGAGCCUGAACCAGCCAAGUAGCGUGCAGGAUGACGGCCCUAUGGGUUGUAAACUGCUUUUAUAAGGGAAUAAAGUGGGUCUCGUGAGACUUUUUGCAUGUACCUUAUGAAUAAGGACCGGCUAAUUCCGUG